Molecule: ribosomal RNA, 292 nt
Filed under: uncultured bacterium
Lineage: Bacteria
Description: partial 16S ribosomal RNA
Rfam family: Bacterial small subunit ribosomal RNA
Source: RNAcentral
GUGUCAGCCGCCGCGGUAAGACGAACCGUGCGAACGUUGUUCGGAAUCACUGGGCUUAAAGGGCGCGUAGGCGGGUCCUCAAGUCCGGGGUGAAAUCCUCUCGCUCAACGAGAGAACUGCCCCGGAUACUGAGGACCUCGAGGGAGGUAGGGGCAUGUGGAACUUCCGGUGGAGCGGUGAAAUGCGUAGAUAUCGGAAGGAACGCCGGUGGCGAAAGCGAUGUGCUGGACCUCUUCUGACGCUGAGGCGCGAAAGCCAGGGGAGCGAACGGGAUUAGAAACCCGCGUAGUCC